Molecule: ribosomal RNA, 397 nt
Filed under: Macrococcoides caseolyticum
Lineage: Bacteria; Bacillati; Bacillota; Bacilli; Caryophanales; Staphylococcaceae
Description: bacterial SSU rRNA
Rfam family: Bacterial small subunit ribosomal RNA
Source: RNAcentral
CGCGAAGAACCUUACCAAAUCUUGACAUCCUUUGACAACUCUAGAGAUAGAGCUUUCCCCUUCGGGGGACAAAGUGACAGGUGGUGCAUGGUUGUCGUCAGCUCGUGUCGUGAGAUGUUGGGUUAAGUCCCGCAACGAGCGCAACCCUUAUCUUUAGUUGCCAUCAUUAGGUUGGGCACUCUAGAGAGACUGCCGGUGACAAACCGGAGGAAGGUGGGGAUGACGUCAAAUCAUCAUGCCCCUUAUGAUUUGGGCUACACACGUGCUACAAUGGAUGGUACAAAGGGCAGCAAAACCGCGAGGUCAAGCAAAUCCCAUAAAACCAUUCUCAGUUCGGAUUGUAGUCUGCAACUCGACUACAUGAAGCUGGAAUCGCUAGUAAUCGUAGAUCAGCAUG